UCAGAAUGACCAUUGAAGGUCCAGCCUGCCCAGUGAAGUUUUAAACGGCCGCGGUAUCCUAACCGUGCUAAGGUAGCGCAAUCACUUGUCCCCUAAAUCGGGACUAGUAUGAACGGCAUCACGAGGGUUACACUGUCUCCCCCUUUUAAUCAGUGAAACUGACCCCCCCGUGAAGAGGCGGGGAUUCAGAUAUAAGACGAGAAGACCCCAUGGAGCUUCAAAUACAUGCCACCUGCCUCCCCAUACCAUUGCAACAAGGCAAAUCUGACCACUGUUUUAGGUUGGGGCGACCACGGAGUAAAACACAACCUCCGCGACGAACUUUCAAUUUAAGAACAACAACUCAAGAAAUCAAAAUUGACGUAAUUGACCCAAAUAUCUUAUUUGAUCAACGAAC
This 397-nucleotide ribosomal RNA is filed under the name Synapturanus sp. Ica 1. Its description in RNAcentral is "partial large subunit ribosomal RNA". It matches the Rfam family "Bacterial large subunit ribosomal RNA", at positions 1834 to 2457 of the family's 2925-position model. Lineage: Eukaryota; Metazoa; Chordata; Amphibia; Anura; Microhylidae. The record is from RNAcentral.